CAGCAACUCACUCUUGUCGACAUAGCCCUGCUGCCUAAUGUAUCUCCCCUGGCUCUCAGUCAACGACAAACUCUCCUGGGACUGGUCCUCCUCAUGUCAUCGCACUGGACUAUAAAUUAAUCCCUAUGACAGAAGAGAACAGCAAGUGUAAUCUGUGUAAAAUGUAAACGACAUGAGAAGAAAAUGGAACAAGCUCUGAUGCAGGAUGGUGAAAAACCUGUGACCCACAGUGACAAGCACAACAGGGACACAUAACCCUGGAGGAGAUGGUGGUGGGCUGAAGUCCUGAAAUAGUUCUGAAGGCUCUAACUGAACACAGGGUUGAAUAGUUUUGAAAAUGAAAAUAAAUAAAAAAUAAAUAAAGAAAUAAAUAACAUGCAGCAGCUAUAGGAUUUAGUAUUAACUUACCCCAAACAAAUAAAAAAUGUGACUGUUAUCUCUUCAUCAUUGUUUAAUUUGUCAUUCAAUCUGUUUCAGUUCUUUGUCUUGAUAGGUGCACAAUAUAAGACAAUCACUGGGAGUAUUUUAGUUCUGUGGCACUGAGUAAAACAAACCCUUGACUUGUCACAAAUAAAU
Long non-coding RNA from Mugil cephalus (flathead mullet), 576 nucleotides. RefSeq lists it as uncharacterized. NCBI's taxonomy places the organism in Eukaryota, Metazoa, Chordata, Actinopteri, Mugiliformes, Mugilidae. The record is from RefSeq and is a predicted model, not a curated record. The transcript is spliced from 3 exons.